AUACGAAGGGGGCUAGCGUUGUUCGGAAUUACUGGGCGUAAAGCGCGCGUAGGCGGACUGAUCAGUUGGGGGUGAAAUCCCAGGGCUUAACCCUGGAACUGCCUCCAAUACUGUCAGUCUUGAGUUCGGGAGAGGUGAGUGGAAUUCCUAGUGUAGAGGUGAAAUUCGUAGAUAUUAGGAAGAACACCAGUGGCGAAGGCGGCUCACUGGCCCGAUACUGACGCUGAGGCGCGAAAGCGUGGGGAGCAAACGGGAUUAGAUACCCUAGUAGUCC
RNAcentral lists this ribosomal RNA (274 nucleotides) under uncultured bacterium. RNAcentral's name for it is "partial 16S ribosomal RNA". It matches the Rfam family "Bacterial small subunit ribosomal RNA", at positions 523 to 796 of the family's 1533-position model. The record is from RNAcentral.